RNAcentral lists this unclassified non-coding RNA (425 nucleotides) under soil metagenome. RNAcentral's name for it is "partial contains 5.8S ribosomal RNA, internal transcribed spacer 2, and large subunit ribosomal RNA". The stretch from base 1 to 120 matches the Rfam family "5.8S ribosomal RNA", at positions 35 to 154 of the family's 154-position model. The record is from RNAcentral.
GAUGAAGAACGCAGCGAAAUGCGAUAAGUAGUGUGAAUUGCAGAAUUCCGUGAAUCAUCGAAUCUUUGAACGCACAUUGCGCCUUCUGGUAUUCCGGAAGGCAUGCCUGUUCGAGAGUCAUUAACAACCGUUUCGAUCCCUUUCUUUCAGAAAUUACAAAGAGGAAAAGGGUUUGGUUAUGGUGGAGGAGGGAAAGGGAGCGUUUAGCCUGUAAAAAAAGAGGCUGUGUUCCGCCUCCCCCCCAGAAGUGUACGGGCGGUCGUGUGCGCCCACGCAUCGAGGUGUUGUAAAAGCUGCCACGGCACUUUUCACCUGUGCAGUGCGAGAUUGGCCAGCCGGUUUAAAAACCCCUCCAAACAAUCAAAGGUUGACCUCGGAUCAGGUAGGGAUACCCGCUGAACUUAAGCAUAUCAAUAAGCGGAGGA